RNAcentral lists this small RNA (78 nucleotides) under Flavobacterium johnsoniae. Its description in RNAcentral is "Flavo-1 RNA". It matches the Rfam family "Flavo-1 RNA". The record is from RNAcentral. Lineage: Bacteria; Pseudomonadati; Bacteroidota; Flavobacteriia; Flavobacteriales; Flavobacteriaceae.
CCGUAGCCCCGAUAGCAGUGGAAAUCCUUUUUUGCCGAGGUUCGGCACAAAAGAUUGAAACGGAUAGCGGGAAAAAGC